UAAAGAUCAAAUCACGCCGCCGACCUCUCCUCGGUUCUUAUGGUGAUCCUGAAGCACGCCGCCGCUGCCAUCGCGGGAUCUUCCUAGGACGAUGACGAAGCCCACGCCGCCGCCAUCGCGGGAUCUUCCUGGGACGACGACGAAGCCCACGCCGCCGCCAUCAGGGAAUUUUCAUGGUACCACGACGCCGCCGCUGCGCCAUCGCGAAUACUCCUCGCAACUUCGUCAUUGUCGGGUCUGGUCGCAUGGGUCAUCGACACCGCUGGAUUCCUCUCGCCCGAUGACGCAGUGGCUAACUCGUCGUGCGGGCCAAGUCAGCCGUUCGAGCGAGGCCGGUAGCGAUGAGGGUAUGGGGCAUCAAGAGGAGCGGCCGCACCAUACCCGGGUUCAAGGUGGCCCUCGGCAUGGAAGCCAACAGGGUCGUGCAAAGAUGGAUCAGCUGCUGAACAUGACACCACGACCCUCAUCGAGUACAUCUGAUAUGUAUGCAUUACGUCCCCUCAUAGAGUAAUGUUGUUUUUUUCUCGUUCUAAUCACCUUGGAUCCAGAUCGACAUUCAGAUCCUGGCGUGUUUUUUACUCCAUGAAAAUAGAUUGCACGAUUGACAGAUGCAAAUGAAGAGAGCAAAAUGAUUUUAUGUCUCUCCUAAGCACGACGUCAUGGUCGUCAUAUGCGUAAUAAUCAAGGGGCUUCUGGGGUCGAAGCAAUUCUUCUCCAUGUAGCCGGAGCAACACUGCAUGCAAAUGCGAGCCCAUACUUAAUCGGCAUCACACUCUUGGCCAAGGGAUUUAGGUAUGCAACCGAUUAAAUUCCAGUGACUUGACAUCCUGACACAUAUGUUCCAUCAACUUCGUAAUAUGUUGGUGAUGUUCAACCCUCAACUUUGUCGUCAGAUUAUGAUGAAUGGAGUGGUCACUAGCAAUGUUCAUUGGAUAAUCUUGAUUCAACAAAGCACAAGCUCAAGCCAUGCAGAGAUGAUUCAAGGCACGCAUUGAUGUCCAAGUUUUCAUGCAUUUGAUAUAGAGCAGUUUUAGCAUGAUCCCUCUUACCUCAGGGAGAGGUACGUGCUAAGAGUAUAUCUGAACCAUAGAUUUUAUUAAAUAGUCAGGCCAAGUAAUUAACAUGUGUAAAUAAAGAAGGUUGCAACCAUUCACAUCUUACCUCGGGCAUUUAAGGAAACACUCCUCCCAUAUCUCCCGUCGAAUCAACAAGAGAGAAAAUCACGAAAAAAAUAUCUUCUCAUGAACCUCUCGGCCCCUUAAAAUCCUCCCACGAAUCCCCACCCAUCUGAAUCCUUUCUUUGGAUCUUGAAUAUUUUUAUUUUUUUUGAAAAGAAAUUAGGUUCAAUGACAUUAACUAAAAAUAGUAGAAAACUACCAGUUUUUGAACAUACAACUUCACAAAAUACACAUAGUGUGCUAACCAGUACUACCAGUUCUGGUGUUUCCUAUUAUUUGUAACACUUAUCAAAUAUGAGUGUUGGACGAACUUUACCUCCGUUGGAUAACCUAUUACCUCACUUAAUUUUGACCCUAGGAUAAAAAAGAAUGUACGGUCCAUAACAGUUGGGACCAUCUUAAAAUUUGCCUUUGAUAUAUACUGAAGUAUAGCUGAAAUAAACAAAAUCUAUGCUUGCACUAAAGAUCAGUAGAAGGUUGCCGAUGAUUGCAAGUCUUCUAACAAGAUUAUGUAUUUUUUGGCAUUUGAAAAACACAAAUAGGCUUGGCCACUCACAAGUUUGAUUCAUCAUCCUUAGGUCUGAAUAGAAGCACAAAUUUGUUUGAGUGAAAAGUACAUGGGCGUGGUUUUCUCUUUAACAUUCCAUGUCAAAUAAAUGAGAAUAUACCUGCAUAGUUAUGGGUUGCUACUACAAAGAAUGGGUUAAUUAAUGGGCAGCAGAAUGUGAUUUAGUUUCUUGUGGGCAGUGGAGUGGGACUAACUAGGGUGCCUUGCAAUUUACAAACCACUCGAGAAUUGCAUAAAUAACAACAAUAUGUUUUGCGAAGGCACACAUAUAUCUUCUUCGUUGGUCUCUCCUUGUGGCUGACUCAAGAACCGGAGGAAAGAUAGUAUUCGUGUAAGGAACUAUAUGAUGUGUGUCUGGCAUGAACACAAUUAGAUCCUAAGGCUAUAUAUUUGACAAGAUUAUAUUAAACCAUUUAAAUAUUUAUUUAUUUUUAGAAAAGGAGGAUGACCCCCGGCCUCUGCAUCUGGGAGAUGCAUGCGGCCAUUUUAUUGAUUAUUCUCGAAGACCUUACAAAGUAGAACAACAAUAUGCCUGAAUUCAUCAUCUUAGCAACAUCUGCUGCUACUCCUAUCCAUAUAUUGAAGGGGUGCAAGUUGGGUCACAUACCCAGACCUCUCACCUACAUCUAAAGCCGGAGGCCCCAACCGAGCCACAUACCAGGUCCGGGGCACAAACCGCUCCGACGCACUCACAUGUGUCAUCGUCGCCAUCUUCCACUGGUCCAUCUUUAGAGAAGAUUGAUGUGUCAACCUUGGUAGGUCCUCCGCCAUUGACGCCACCAGGACGCCAAACGAUGGCCUCCACCUAUGCGAGUCCAUCUUCAAACAACGGACGUAGAUCCAUGCUAGGAUAGGCCCGCACCACCGUCGUCACCGACCACCCACAAGCGCCACCCAACCCCAAGGUUUCCAAAGCGGCGCCUUUAAGAAGGGAACGGCGCCGUGAACCCCGCCACCGCCCAACAAAGUUAGGGCUUUCGCCCGGGAGACCUAGGGAUAGGGGAAGUUAGGAGAUCAGUCAAUACCGACGCCUCCAAGGAGGGGAACGACGCCCUGAGGUGACACCGUCGGCGCGGCCGGACAUGGUCGGCUAGGGAUUUCGCCCGAACUAGAUCCCCGCGUACAGAACUGGCGACUAAGGGAAGCGCGGCCUGACCAGGCUGGCCGCAUGCCAAACAUGGGAAGAGGGGAGGCACCAGAUGCGCGCACCGGCCACCGUAGAAGCCGCCGCCCGCCCACGACCACCAGGUUCCCGCCGCCCGCGCAGCCAGGACGCGAGAUCCAUCACCCGCACGGCUACUCGCCGGAGCCUCUCGUGCCUCGCCAAAAGAGACGCUGCUCCAGAUCCGGGACUCCCCACCCAGAGGCAGGGCAGCCGAGGCCCCGCUGCCACCAUCCUUGGUGCCCCCGGCUUGCCCGAUGGCCGCCUCAGGCAGCGGCGAGGAAGGGAGUGGGGGUGAGGUUGGCGGCGCGGCUAGGGUUC
Molecule: long non-coding RNA, 3229 nt
Organism: Triticum aestivum (bread wheat)
Lineage: Eukaryota; Viridiplantae; Streptophyta; Magnoliopsida; Poales; Poaceae
Exons: 4
Source: RefSeq, a predicted model, not a curated record